This is a non-coding RNA of Camellia sinensis, 4180 nucleotides long. NCBI's taxonomy places the organism in Eukaryota, Viridiplantae, Streptophyta, Magnoliopsida, Ericales, Theaceae. The record is from RefSeq and is a predicted model, not a curated record.
UUGUCAGCAAUUCAAAGACCGACUUUCGAUUAUUUGGAGGAAUAGGCCACACUAUGGAAAACAUUUGUUCAACCAUUGAAAUUGGGAAGAAUUUGUGUGAUUUAACUGGACCAUGGGUUGGAUAUCUCAAUAACCUUGAUACUAACAUGGAAACUCUCAAAAGGAAGACGGAGCAAUUGAACGGCCGAAACAAUGACAUAAAUGUAGAAGUGAAUUAUGCAGAGCAGCGGUCAAGGAAAAAACGAAGGGUUGACGUUGAAUGUUGGCAAGAAUAUGUGCAAAGGAUAACAGCUGAUGUCCAAACUUUGGAAAGACAAGAGCAAGAAGUACGAGGAUUUAAGAAUGCCUUCAAACGUGCACACUUGGGAAAGCGUGUAGUGGACAAGAUUGAAGAGGUGGAAAAACUGUAUGAAAAUGGUGAAUUUUCUAAUGGUUUGCUAAUUGAUGAUCCAACUUGUGGGCACGCCAUACCAACAGCAGAAUCUUUGGUUGAACCAACAAGUGUAAGGAACAGGGAGAAAAUUUGGAAUUUCUUGAUGGAUGAUGCGGUUAGAAAAAUCGGUGUUCACGGAAUGGGGGGAAUUGGCAAAACAACCAUCAUGGGAAGCAUCAAUAAUCAACUUCUUUCCGAAACUUCUACCUUUAGUGAUGUUAUUUGGGUCACAGUUUCUAAAGCAUUCGACAUCAAAAAUCUACAAGGGCAGAUAGCUAAGAAGCUGAAUAUUGCUCUUUCCGAUAAUGAGGAUGAAUUACGUUCAGCGUCAGAAAUAAAUAAGAUGCUUUCCCAAAAGAAGAGGUAUGUGUUCAUCUUAGACGAUCUUUGGAAAGAAUUUCCUUUGGAGAAGAUGGGUAUUCCGGAACCAACCAGAGAUAACGGAUGUAAGCUAGUGUUGACUACACGAUUGGUAGACGUCUGUACAAAGAUGAAUUGCAGACCUGUUGAAAUGGAGCUUCUCACAGAAGAGGAAGCACUGAAUCUGUUUAUGAAUAAUGUUAAAGAACAUCAGGCAACGCUUACAACCGAGGUAGAAGAAAUUGCAAAAGAAGUUGCCAAAAAAUGUGCUCGUCUGCCCCUUGCAAUUGUUGUUAUGGCUGGAUGUAUGAUAGGAGUGAAUGACAUUCGCGAGUGGAGAAAUGCGAAAAGUGUACGAUGGCGCCUGGGCAAAGAAGGGUUCUUUGAGCAACUAGAAUUUAGUUAUCGUCGGCUAAAAGAUGAACAGGAACGACAUUGUUUCUUGUAUUGUGCAUUGUAUCCAGAAGACCAUGACAUCAAUAGGGAAGAACUGAUAGAGUAUUGGAUUGCUGAGGGACUAAUAAGUGAGAUGAACAGUAUAGAAGCAAUGUUUGAUGAAGGUCACUCUAUAUUGAAUAAACUCAUUAAAACCUGCUUGUUGGUAAAAAGUAUAAUAUAUGGCAGAGAAUGCGUGAAGAUGCAUGAUUUGAUAAGAGAUAUGGCUCUCAAAAUAACAUCAGCUAGUCCUCGAUUCAUGGUCCGAGCUGGUGAGGGAUUAAAAAGAGUUCCACAUAAAGACUGGUCUGAGGAUCUUGAGAGGGUUUCCUUAAUGUGGAACCAUAUUGAAGAACUUCCUUCUGAACCACCCAAUUGCCCUUGCCUCAUCACCUUCUUAUUUCGAGGCAAUAAGUCAACAGAACUUCGGAUUCAAAAUUCCUUCUUUUUGUAUAUGCCUCGUCUCAAGGUGUUGGAUUUGUCCGACACUAACAUAGAGUCUUUGCCAGAUUCCAUCUCCAUGUUGGAGAAUUUGCAUCAACUGUUACUAAAUGCCUGUUAUGAACUAAAAAAUGUGCCGUCACUGGAGAAACUUAAGGCGUUGGAACAUUUUGAACUAACUGGGAGUCAGAUUGAAAAAGUACCCCAAGGUAUAGGAGAAUUGGUUAAUCUCAGAAAGCUUGGACUUUGGGACAAUCACAACGUAAAAUAUGUGCCGUCACUGGAGAAACUGAAGGCGUUGGAACAUUUUGAACUAACUGUGAGGCAGAUUGAAGCAGCACCCCAAGGUAUAGAAGAAUUGGUUAAUCUCAGAAAGCUUAGACUCGGGGGGCAUCACCUAAAAUAUGUGCCAUCACUGGAGAAACUGAAGGCGUUGGAACAUUUUGAACUAGCUGGGAGUCAGAUUGAAAAAGUACCCCAAGGUAUAGAAGAAUUGGUUAAUCUCAGAGAGCUUAGACUUCGGGGGAAUUGCAACCUAAAAUAUGUGCCGUCACUGGAGAAACUGAAGGCGUUGGAACAUUUUGAACUAGGUCAGAGUCAGAUUGAAGAAGCACCCCAAGGUAUAGAAGAAUUGGUUAAUCUCAGAGGGCUUACACUCCGGGAGAAUCACAACCUAAAAUAUGUGCCGUCACUGGAGAAACUGAAGGCGUUGGAACAUUUUGAACUAGGUCAGAGUCAGAUUGAAGAAGCACCCCAAGGUAUAGAAGAAUUGGUUAAUCUCAGAGGGCUUACACUCUGCGAGAAUCGCAACCUAAAAUAUGUGCCGUCACUGGAGAAACUGAAGGCGUUGAAACAUUUUGAACUAGGUCAGAGUCAGAUUGAAGAAGCACCCCAAGGUAUAGAAGAAUUGGUUAAUCUCAGAGGGCUUAGACUCCGGGAGAAUCACAACCUAAAAUAUGUGCCGUCACUGGAGAAACUGAAGGCGUUGGAAUGUUUUGUGCUGACUCAUAGUCAGAUUGAAGAAGUACCCCAAGGUAUAGAAGAAUUGGUUAAUCUCAGAAAUCUUGAACUCUCGGGUUACAAGCUAGGAAUGUCUCCUUGCCGGAAGUUAUGCAGACUCACACAACUCCAUUCCCUUGAAAUUCAGAGAACAAAAGUAAAAGUUUCAGCAGAAGAGCUGUUGUGCUUGAAGCAAUUAGAAGUUCUCGAAGUUCAGUUUCACAAUGUGCAAGAGCUUACCAUGUAUGUGAAUUCUGCGCAAUGCAAAAGUUUGGAAAUGUACAGCCUUGAGGUGGGAAUUGUUGAUGAAAUUAAAAACGAGAGACUCACUUGUGAGUACGAGGGUGGAUCUUUAUCAAGUACUGGAGUAGAUGCCGUAGUGCUUCCCAGCGACAUAUGGAAGUUGUACAUUAGAAGAUGGCACAAUCACAUUAGCUUAUCAGAUAUUCAGUCGUUAAGGGAUGCAAGAGGUUUAGAAAACUUUAAGAUCGAAGAGUGUGAUGGGCUUGAAUCCAUCUUUUCAUCAUCAUCAUGCUUUUCAGAAGACUACCACAUCCCGCUAACAACGAUUGAGAAAUUAAAGUUUUCUAAUUUACCCAAUUUUAGGGUACUCUUUGACAGAGUUGUUCCACCACACAACAUUUCAUUUAACCUUAAGAGAUUGGUGUUGCGUCAAUGUCCGAAAAUGGAGAAUAUUUUCUCUGCCCUGUUGUUGCACAACUUUCCAAACCUUGAGAAGCUUAAAGUGCGGGACUGCAAGAAUGUGGAGGAGAUAAUAGUAGAAGUAGAGACGAGUGAUCGAGGGGGGCAUCGGGAAGAUGAUGGCGACACAAUCACACUCCCAAAUUUAAAGAUAUUAGAUCUACUAAACCUACCAAGGCUGGAGAGCAUAUAUAAGGGCAUAAUGGUCUGUGAAUCUCUGCAACACAUUUCGAUAUCGAAUUGUCCCAUGUUAAGGAGAUUGCCUAUUUCUUUGCACAAGAAUGAGGAUGGUGAGCAAGCAACUGCACCACCUGCUCUUCGAUUCAUUUUUGUAGAAGAAGAAUGGUGGGAAUCUCUGGAAUGGGAUAAUCCCCUCACCAAAACCACUCUUCAACCUUUCUGCUGCCCAGAAGUACCAGAAGAAGAAGAGACUGAAUCUCUUGAAAGAAAUGAAAUUGAAUAAUAUUGAAAUCAUCAUUAAGCUUUCAAUUCAUGAACUCUUGAGUGCGGAUUCAUUUCACUAUAGAUCCAGAAGAAUAGUGUGGUGGAAGCAGUGGAAGUUAUUAUUGGGAUAGAGUGCUACAAGUAGAAGUUAUUUUGAAUUGUUUUGUUACGACAUUGAUUUAAAUUAUAGAACUCUUGUUUGCUUUGAUGGAGGCAAUUAAUCUUUGAAAUAUUCAGAUUAUGGAACUCUAGGUUUGGCAUGCUUUAAACAUUAAACUAGCUAAACUGAAUUUGUGAAUUGUUGUUGAAACUUUUGGUAUUGUGAAUUAAAGAAUUACUGAUUGUGAUUUCAUCUCUUGAUUGCCA